AAGAUACUCCCUCCGUCCGGAAAUACUUGUCAUCAUAUAAAUAAAACAUGAUGUAUCUAGUAUGAUGUAUCUACUAGAUACAUCAUGUUUUAUUUAUAUGAUGACAAGUAUUUUUGGACGGAUGGAGUACAAA
Molecule: non-coding RNA, 133 nt
Organism: Triticum aestivum (bread wheat)
Lineage: Eukaryota; Viridiplantae; Streptophyta; Magnoliopsida; Poales; Poaceae
Source: Rfam